Molecule: ribosomal RNA, 823 nt
Filed under: Allolobophora strumicae
Lineage: Eukaryota; Metazoa; Annelida; Clitellata; Crassiclitellata; Lumbricidae
Description: partial large subunit ribosomal RNA
Rfam family: Eukaryotic large subunit ribosomal RNA (bases 328-823)
Source: RNAcentral
GGAAACCGUCUAGAGGCAAACGGAGAGGACCGUAUGGUCCGCCCGUCGGAUUCAGUCCGCAGGCGCGGCGUCGGCGCCGGUCGCGCAUCCCUCGUGGGAGCGCGCCGGCGUCCGGAUCGUCGUGCGGCGGCCGUACUUUCGGCGGGCGGAGCGCCACGACCGGUCUGCGGGCGGCGAGAAACUCUCGGGCAAGGUGACCUUCGCCUCGGCGCAGGAGCAUACAGGCCCGGCGAGCGCAGGCCCGUCCGCGGACCGAGGAAGACCGUCGCGGAGCGGCGUCGACCGCCCGUCGUGGGCGUGCGUUCGACUCGGGGGGACUGGUUCCAGUGCCCUCGGACCGCGUGCGUCCAUCGGCGGGACGGCCCGGCGUCGCGCCUGGGGUCGGUGGCGAAACGGCCGGCAACCUGUCCGACCCGUCUUGAAACACGGACCAAGGAGUCUAACAUGUGCGCGAGUCGUUGGGCGUUACGAAACCCGAAGGCGCAAUGAAAGUGAAGGCCCGGUCUCCGGCCGGCCUGGGUGGGAUCCGGACGGUCGCGGCCGUCCGGCGCACCACCGGCCCGUCUCGUUCGCCUUGUCGAGGAGGCGGAGCAAGAGCGUACACGUUGGGACCCGAAAGAUGGUGAACUAUGCCCGAGUAGGACGAAGCCAGAGGAAACUCUGGUGGAGGUCCGCAGCGAUUCUGACGUGCAAAUCGAUCGUCAAACUUGGGUAUAGGGGCGAAAGACUAAUCGAACCAUCUAGUAGCUGGUUCCUGUCGAAGUUUCCCUCAGGAUAGCUGGCGCUCGUCACGAGCAGUUUUAUCCGGUAAAGCGAAUGACUG